GAUGAAGAACGUAGCGAAAUGCGAUAAGUAGUGUGAAUUGCAGAAUUUAGUGAAUCAUCGAAUCUUUGAACGCACAUUGCGCCCUAUAGUAUUCUGUAGGGCAUGCCUGUUCGAGCGUUAUUGAGACCUCAAGCUCUGCUUGGAAAUGGGCGCUUGUCUUGCCUUGCAGACUCGCCUUAAAACCAUUGGCAGCUGAUUUACAAUGUUUGGUGCACAGUACAUGAGCCCAAGUGUUGCAAUGAGUGGCCCAAAAGUAUACAAUAGAAGCUUAACCUCGGAUCAGGUAGGGAUACCCGCUGAACUUAAGCAUAUCAAAAGCGGAGGA
Molecule: unclassified non-coding RNA, 325 nt
Filed under: soil metagenome
Description: partial contains 5.8S ribosomal RNA, internal transcribed spacer 2, and large subunit ribosomal RNA
Rfam family: 5.8S ribosomal RNA (bases 1-120)
Source: RNAcentral